GACGAACGCUGGCGGCGUGCCUAAUACAUGCAAGUAGAACGCUGAAGAGAGGAGCUUGCUCUUCUUGGAUGAGUUGCGAACGGGUGAGUAACGCGUAGGUAACCUGCCUUGUAGCGGGGGAUAACUAUUGGAAACGAUAGCUAAUACCGCAUAACAAUGGAUGACACAUGUCAUUUAUUUGAAAGGGGCAAUUGCUCCACUACAAGAUGGACCUGCGUUGUAUUAGCUAGUAGGUGAGGUAAUGGCUCACCUAGGCGACGAUACAUAGCCGACCUGAGAGGGUGAUCGGCACAACUGGGACUGAGACACGGCCCAGACUCCUACGGGAGGCAGCAGUAGGGAAUCUUCGGCAAUGGGGGCAACCCUGACCGAGCAACGCCGCGUGAGUGAAGAAGGUUUUCGGAUCGUAAAGCUCUGUUGUAAGUCAAGAACGGGUGUGAGAGUGGAAAGUUCACACUGUGACGGUAGCUUACCAGAAAGGGACGGCUAACUACGUG
RNAcentral lists this ribosomal RNA (497 nucleotides) under uncultured bacterium. RNAcentral describes it as "partial 16S ribosomal RNA". It matches the Rfam family "Bacterial small subunit ribosomal RNA", at positions 28 to 507 of the family's 1533-position model. The record is from RNAcentral.